CUGCGGAAAGCGAAACAGCUCCAUGCUAGUUGUUGAGGAUGGAUUUCUGGAAGUAAAAUGACCACGUGAAAGGGAAUGAGUAUUUUCAAGUUGUCCAUAUGAUCUCCAGAGAGGUUUUAUAUUCACUUUCCCUUUGGGCUGCUGUAAAGGAAAAUGGGAAUCAGCACCUACUUCGAAGGAAGUGAAGGGGUGCAGGGAAUGAGAUGGUGUUAGACGAGACGCACCAUCUACACAUUUGCUAUUAUUUAAAGCAACAUCCAAACCAUCGUAGAAGUGUUUUGCUUGGGAAAACUGGAGGAGGAGACAGGAUUCCCUAAUAUCACAGUGACCUACAGAGAGGGACAAAAGUACAGGUUCUCUACCCAGAAGUACCUUCAACCCCUUUCUAAGGAAACCUCCUCUGAGAUCCACUUGCCCACUAACCCCAGCUAUCAGGACCCAGCAAUUCUGCCAAGCACCUUCAAAUCUAGCAAGUCAUGCUGGCUUUCUGCUUCAGGUGGGGCCUUAGCAACUGGCUCCAAAUUAAAAUAAAGUGAUGAUCCUUUGCAGGGAGAAAGUGUGAGAAUUUUCAGUUGCCUGGUAGACUUUUGUGGACUACUAUUGCUUUUGAGGUAUUAGGAGACUAACGAUGACAAUGGGAGCAUCUCAAGAUCUCUUCAAGCUCACCCUCAUUGUCUUUAUGUCAGGUACCUUUCAGUUUCU
Molecule: long non-coding RNA, 702 nt
Filed under: Heterocephalus glaber (naked mole-rat)
Lineage: Eukaryota; Metazoa; Chordata; Mammalia; Rodentia; Bathyergidae
Description: lncRNA (ENSHGLG00000050672.1)
Source: RNAcentral